UGAAAAGUUUGAAAGAGGUUAACUUGGAAGUACCACGAUCAAACAAGUUCUCCAAGCUUUCGACGAAAAUCUAAUUUAGUGCAUAUUCUCGGAGGAACCUCGCUCGCAAUUAAUGAGAAGCUGGCUUAGGUGUGUGCAGCAUGAAGAGGCGAUAGAAAAAUUUCAUUCCAUAUUUUCGAUAUAUUUUUUCACGUAGUAUCGCCUUCUUGGCUAUUUUCAUAGCAACAAAUGUGUCGAAUGAUGCAAGACUAAUGCCAAACUCGCCAUAAAGUCGUUUAAAGUUCCUUUUUGGAACUUUUAAUGAUUCAAAAGGAGGCUCGUCCAAAGCCAUUCAUUUCGAAAGGCAUGGAAGCGAGAAUUCUACCCUUUUACCAAACUUUGAUGGUGGAUUCGUGCACCGAGGAAAUUUAUGAAGCGCGAUUCAUUUGUUUAUUUAUGGCUGACGGUGCAUCCGCAACGGGCGAUAAACGGGGCCGCCGGCUACUAAACUGCCUUCUGCAUGAAGAAGCGCGAUACGACCUAACCUAGACGUUCGCCAAGAGCUUGCCAAGGUGAAACGCACCUAUUUUUUUGCUCCAAAAAGGUGUAAAUAUCUUUUGAAGAUUUGUGAGACUUUCGGUGGAUGUACUCGCAACAAAUUUCCAGAGAAAAUAGUCGUAAUAUUAGAAAAAAAUUUGAUUAAUAAGAUUGAUAUCAGUUAAAAAGCAAAGUUAAUAACAUAUAAAUUAGGUUAGUUUAGUUUUAACCUAAAGAUUACAUCAGAAUAUCAACUUCGUUGAAGAAGGGUACUUAUGAAAGAAACCAACUAAGGUGCUACCGGAUGAAUAUGAUAGAUGAAAAACUUCCAAGUUCUCACAUUAAUUCCUAACGAGGUUCUAAGUUCUUUCGAGCGAGAACAGGUGUCCCCCCAAGAAAACCUUCUGCGAAAUUUUCAGAAAAUUGCAUUCUCCUCUAUUCUACUCUUUUUCCGCUCGUUUUUAAUUCGUAAUUAAGGGAGAAUCGCGAUGGUUAAUCAGAAAUAAGCUGCUCAACGUAGCUUCGUUCACCACUUCCAGUUCUUUAACGAGAAAACCUAACCUACAAUAACCUCCAAAAUUUUGUAACAUUCACAGUUUGCAUAAAAUCACCCUCAUACUUCGAAUUAUACAGAGUAUCCUAGAAAUUGUGAUCCAAUUGAAAAAAUUAUGCUUCUUUUGAGCAAAUAUGAUCAAAUCAUAGAAAAAAAUUUGGGGAGACUAAAUUUCCUAUCUUGUUUAACUGAAAACUGUAUCUUUACGUGCAAUACCUUCAGUUUUCAACUUAAUUUUGUUUUAUUUUGUCAUACAUUGCCACCCACUUCCUAUUUGUACCAUAAUUUUUGAAAUACCUUAUAUAAUGAGGAAAACAAGGUUAGGUUACAGUCUUUCACGGCUCAAAAUAUCGCAGUUCAGCCUGUUACACGCUUGACAGUAUUAUGUUUAACACUAUUUCGUCGAACAGGCUCUCGAGAAAGAGCCGAGGCCAAAAGAAACAAAAUUAUGACGUUUCGUGAACAUUGAAGUUCCGCAUUGUGAGCCAUGCGCGUGUGUAACAAUGUGAAUUAUGAAUGUUAGGUUAACCCUAACCUCAAACGAUAAUUGUUUAGCAAACAACUAGAAGCAAGAACGACUAAGACCGUGAACAAGGUAGAAGAAACGCCGAAGGUAAUAAGCAGCGAAGCAAUUAGAAGAAGUAAUGCGGUCGUAAAGGAAGGAAAACGAGAGAAAAUGGGAAAACAAAAACAAAAGGCGAAAUACGCGAGGUUAUAAUUGGACAGCCAGACGUGUUCCAUGCCAGACAGUAGAAUUAUCGUAUGGAAGAGCCGAGAUGCGUAAACGCAACGAGAAAUCGCAGCACAGAUGAUGCCUCAGACGCUCCUUAGUCAUGAACCAACUUGUGAAGUGUGCAAAGACCUAUACAGGUCAGGAUAUUUUUGGAAAUAUCUGAAAGGAAACAGAGAACGUUUGCCAAUUCCAUGGAUAGACGCCUUUGAGACCCUCUCGCAUGUCGUGACUCGUUAAGCUGAUCAACGAUCGCAAUUUCGAAUCAGUCCUUUAAUCUACCGACUGCUAUUGGUUAUCCAUUACGCGUUUAACGAGGUCGCCGCUGCAAGAAACGAUAUUGCACCGGUAUGGAUUUAUUUACAGCACGUCCUGACCAGCAUCCCGCACUUCUUCAUCCGCAUCCCCUUGAAUAUCCAAUAGAAAAGCGCGAUAUCCGUUUUUUCCCUAUCUUUCUUUUUUAUUCAAGGCAUUUUUCAUAAUUCUCUUUAAAACAUGCAUCCACACGAAGCGGGUAAUUUAAGAUCGCAGUCAAAAUCAUAGAAUAUCAUUCUUUCUGUCAGAACUAUUUGAAAAAUGUCACAAAAUGCCAAAAAGAAAAAAUAAAAAAAAUAUUGUAACCUUGUCCAACUAUGGAAAAUGUUUUAGCUGAUAGAACAAUAUCUCAAUGUUUACCAUAUGAACGUUACCAUAUGAAACUCAAUGUUUGAACCGAUCAUUUUAUCAUAAAUAUUCGUUAAAUCGAAUAGAAAUAAAAGGGGAUAAAAUUAGAAAGCUUUUAUAUCUGUCUAGACAUGCUAUAAGUAGAAUUAAACUGUAUAUACUCAGACACGCAAUGGUCUGGCAAAAUUUGACACAAUGAUAAGAUUUCUAAGUAGAAUAUAAGCUAUGGUCAGAUUAUAACAAAUGAAAGAGAAAUAUACAUACAAUAUAUAAUAGUAACAUUCAGUUUUUAAGAAAAAUAACCUUGUAUAUGGUCAGACUUUACAAUAAACUUGCUGUAAGCAGAAUAUUGUAAUAAUCUGUAUUUUUAGUUAACUUCAAGCAUAUUUUAAUUAUAAUUAUAUCUGGGGGAAAAUUCAUUUUAAGAUUUUUAUAAAAUAUGUACAGACCAUAAAAUAAGAUUAGUAAACAGGAUAAUGGAACAAUUUAUUUUUUUAUCUUUGUGAGUAUCGUACAUGUAAAAAUAUACUUCGUGUAUAUCUUUUAUACUUCAUGUGUUGUAUGUUACAAAAAUUGUUUGUGACACAAUCAUCGGCUAAAAUCUAUCUCACGAAUUUUACAGGCAGAAUAUAGCGUUCCAAGAAUGUAAUCGACUGUAGUCAGACACAGGCAAGUAGAACGGAAUUAUACAUAGUAGGCAACUUUUAAGGAGAGUAACUUCGUACA
Long non-coding RNA from Bombus terrestris (buff-tailed bumblebee), 3188 nucleotides. RefSeq lists it as uncharacterized. The record is from RefSeq and is a predicted model, not a curated record. NCBI's taxonomy places the organism in Eukaryota, Metazoa, Arthropoda, Insecta, Hymenoptera, Apidae. The transcript is spliced from 3 exons.